This 239-nucleotide unclassified non-coding RNA is filed under the name Periconia sp. RNAcentral's name for it is "partial internal transcribed spacer region". The stretch from base 1 to 46 matches the Rfam family "Eukaryotic small subunit ribosomal RNA", at positions 1786 to 1831 of the family's 1831-position model. The record is from RNAcentral. RNAcentral also lists the same sequence under 2 other names. Lineage: Eukaryota; Fungi; Ascomycota; Dothideomycetes; Pleosporales; Periconiaceae.
AAGUCGUAACAAGGUUUCCGUAGGUGAACCUGCGGAAGGAUCAUUAAUCCAGGCGCAAGCCCCCUCUCGGGGAGGUGAGCGCCGCCUUCUUAUCAACCCUUUGCCUAUGUGUACCCCUAUCGCUUCCUCGGCAGGCUCGCCUGCCGCUAGGAACCAACCAAACCCCUUGCAUUAUACAUGAAAACUUCCGAUACAAACCUAAAUUAUUACAACUUUUAACAAUGGAUCUCUUGGUUCUG